Molecule: ribosomal RNA, 451 nt
Filed under: uncultured bacterium
Lineage: Bacteria
Description: partial 16S ribosomal RNA
Rfam family: Bacterial small subunit ribosomal RNA
Source: RNAcentral
GUGGGGAAUAUUGGACAAUGGGGGGAACCCUGAUCCAGCCAUGCCGCGUGUGUGAAGAAGGCCUUUUGGUUGUAAAGCACUUUAAGCGAGGAGGAGGCUACCGAGAUUAAUACUCUCGGAUAGUGGACGUUACUCGCAGAAUAAGCACCGGCUAACUCUGUGCCAGCAGCCGCGGUAAUACAGAGGGUGCAAGCGUUAAUCGGAUUUACUGGGCGUAAAGCGCGCGUAGGUGGCCAAUUAAGUCAAAUGUGAAAUCCCCGAGCUUAACUUGGGAAUUGCAUUCGAUACUGGUUGGCUAGAGUAUGGGAGAGGAUGGUAGAAUUCCAGGUGUAGCGGUGAAAUGCGUAGAGAUCUGGAGGAAUACCGAUGGCGAAGGCAGCCAUCUGGCCUAAUACUGACACUGAGGUGCGAAAGCAUGGGGAGCAAACAGGAUUAGAUACCCUAGUAGUCC